CUUGUCUCGGUCUCGAUACACUCUGGUCUUGGUCUUGUCUCGGUCUCGAUACACUUUGGUCUUGGUCUUGUCUCGGUCUCGAUACACUCUGGUCUUGGUCUUGUCUUGCUGUCAAACUCUGAAAGUCUUGGUCUUGUCUUGGUCUCAAACCCUCAAAGUCUCGGUCUUGUCUUGGCCUCAAACCCUCAAAGUCUCGGUCUUGUCUCGAUCUCGAUACACUCUGGUCUUGGUCUUGUCUUGGUCUCAAACCCUCGGUCUUGUCUCGGUCGAUACACUCUGGUCUUGGUCUUGUCUCGGUCUCGAUACACUCUGGUCUUGGUCUUGUCUCGGUCUCGAUACACUUUGGUCUUGGUCUUUUCUUGCUGUCAAACCCACAAAGUCUCGGUCUUGUCUUGGUCUCAAACCCUCAAAGUCUCGGUCUUGCCUUGGUCUCAAACCCUUGGUCUUGUCUCGGUCUCGAUACACUCUGGUCAUGGUCUUGUCUCGCUCUCGAUACACUCUGGUCUUGGUCUUGUCUUGCUGUCAAACUCUGAAAGUCUUGGUCUUGUCUUGGUCUCAAACCCUCAAAGUCUCGGUCUUGUCUUGGCCUCAAACCCUCAAAGUCUCGGUCUUGUCUCGAUCUCGAUACACUCUGGUCUUGGUCUUGUCUUGGUCUCAAACCCUCUGUCUUGUCUCGGUCUCGAUACACUCUGGUCAUGGUCUUGUCUCGGUCUCGAUACACUCUGGUCUUGGUCUUGUCUUGCUGUCAAACUCUGAAAGCCUCGGUCUUGUCUUGGUCUCAAACCCUCAAACCCUCGGUCUUGUCUCGGUCUCGAUACACUCUGGUCUUGGUCUUGUCUUGCUGUCAAACCCUAAAAGUCUUGGUCUUGUAUCGAUCUCGAUAGACUCUGGUCUUGGUGAUGACUUGGUCUUGUUUUAGGUGGUCACGACUACAACACUAUUCCAUAGCUAUAUGUACAAAUGUUUCAUAAAAACAGCCUGUCAUCCACAUAUUUUGAAGCGCAAGAUGAAACAUAUUCUGCUUCUCUAGGUUUAUCUAGAAGGGAAAAAAUGGCAUCAGCACAGAAAGGUCACACACACACACACACACACAUCCAGAACAAAGUCAUCCAUAAUUCACACCAACAUAUGACAGAUGUAAAACAAACAGACUAAAGUUAUCGUUUAUUCAAACGUCCCUCAAGCUUUAUGUUGUGAAGCAACA
RNAcentral lists this long non-coding RNA (1204 nucleotides) under Sander lucioperca (pikeperch). RNAcentral describes it as "lncRNA (ENSSLUG00000002991.1)". Lineage: Eukaryota; Metazoa; Chordata; Actinopteri; Perciformes; Percidae. The record is from RNAcentral.